This is a long non-coding RNA of Papaver somniferum (opium poppy), 164 nucleotides long. RefSeq lists it as uncharacterized. The transcript is spliced from 3 exons. Lineage: Eukaryota; Viridiplantae; Streptophyta; Magnoliopsida; Ranunculales; Papaveraceae. The record is from RefSeq and is a predicted model, not a curated record.
AGGGAACUUAUCUAAUUUGGGUUGUUGUGUUCUUACUGAUAUGGCUCGAGACCUAUUUUUUGGGGAUUCCGCCUUGCGUCGAAAAUACGAAUCCACUACUAAAAAACAAAAAGAACAGAAGCGAAGAGCUAAAGCUUCCUCAACUGCAAUUGCGAAUCCCAUGU